RNAcentral lists this ribosomal RNA (429 nucleotides) under uncultured Entrophosporaceae. RNAcentral's name for it is "SSU rRNA". It matches the Rfam family "Eukaryotic small subunit ribosomal RNA", at positions 459 to 886 of the family's 1831-position model. Lineage: Eukaryota; Fungi; Glomeromycota; Glomeromycetes; Entrophosporales; Entrophosporaceae. The record is from RNAcentral.
GGGAGGUAGUGACAAUAAAUAACAAUACGGGGCUCUUUAGGGUCUCGUAAUUGGAAUGAGUACAAUUUAAAUCCCUUAACGAGGAACAAUUGGAGGGCAAGUCUGGUGCCAGCAGCCGCGGUAAUUCCAGCUCCAAUAGCGUAUAUUAAAGUUGUUGCAGUUAAAAAGCUCGUAGUUGAAUUUCGGGAUUGACGUGAUGGUCGUGCCUUACGGGGUAUGAACUGUUGCUGUUGAUUUCUCACCUUCUGGAGAAACUUGAUGUCCUUAAUUGGGUGUCUUGCGGAUCCAGGACCUUUACCUUGAAAAAAUUAGAGUGUUUAAAGCAGGCAUUUUGCUCGAAUACAUUAGCAUGGAAUAAUAGAAUAGGACGGCAUGGUUCUAUUUUGUUGGUUUCUAGGAUCACCGUAAUGAUUAAUAGGGAUAGUUGGG